UACGUAGGGUCCGAGCGUUGUCCGGAUUUAUUGGGCGUAAAGAGCUCGUAGGCGGCUUGUCGCGUCGAAUGUGAAAUCUCAGGGCUCAACUCUGACAUUGCAUUCGAUACGGGCAGGCUCGAGUCGGUAGGGGAGACUGGAAUUCCUGGUGUAGCGGUGAAAUGCGCAGAUAUCAGGAGGAACACCGGUGGCGAAGGCAGCACUCUGGGACGGUACU
Molecule: ribosomal RNA, 217 nt
Filed under: uncultured bacterium
Lineage: Bacteria
Description: partial 16S ribosomal RNA
Rfam family: Bacterial small subunit ribosomal RNA
Source: RNAcentral